RNAcentral lists this non-coding RNA (24 nucleotides) under Arabidopsis thaliana (thale cress). Lineage: Eukaryota; Viridiplantae; Streptophyta; Magnoliopsida; Brassicales; Brassicaceae. The record is from RNAcentral.
UGCGUAGAGUGCUUGCAAAAUCUA